UGUUCAAUCACCCACUUCCCACACGCAACAGUAGCUCAUGGGUACCACAUAUAACUUUGCCAAAGUUCUCUAACAAAGUUGAGACACGUGAAGCUUGCAGCUCCCACUACAUCGCUCUGACCAAGAAGGGUAAAAGAUUAGCAAAGAAACAACACUAACAGAGUUUAGACACAUAAACUUUGAAGGUCUAGCUACCAUAUUAUUACCCACAAGGGUAAAGGAACAGUACCACUGCUGGAUAAUUGGAA
Molecule: long non-coding RNA, 248 nt
Filed under: Malus domestica (apple)
Lineage: Eukaryota; Viridiplantae; Streptophyta; Magnoliopsida; Rosales; Rosaceae
Description: long non-coding RNA (MDOM_LNC015671)
Source: RNAcentral